ACAGCCAGAGCAGGCAUCGGAGAGCUCACGCGGGCCGAGGGCGCGCGACUGGGGAUGCUGGCCCGGGUUCUUUUAAGACGGGUUCUGGACACAAGCGACGGCAGCUUCCGCGACCCCCAUCAGCCCCGCCUCACUCUGGACACCGGGCUGUGAGCUCUGGGACGCGCCCAACUUGGAAAGCGUCUUGCUUGCCCAGCGCGCGCUACUUCUCGGACGAGCACCCGGCGGCGGGGCACAUGCUGCCCCCGCCCCUGCGCGCCUGCGGCUCCCGGCUCUCCCUCCCCUGCGCCGCGCUCUCGCCUCGCUUUCCGCGGGAGCCUUCCAACCGGUUCUCGGCUAGGGAGAAGGACGGGAGCGGUGGGAAGAGCGAGGGUGUAGAGAGGGAAGUUAGGGCUUUCGCUUUCUCCCCCCACUCCAGCGGCGGCGUUCGGUCCUCUGGGUGGAAUGUGCUCGCAGCAGCAGUGACGGCGGCCACAGCACGGGAGGCACCCGAGCCAUACACCCUGCAGCUGGAGAGAAAAGGAUGGCCGAGGUGGGAGAGACUAGAGUGAACCAGCAGGAGGAAGUCCCAGGGCCGCGAAGCUACGACGGAGAUCCGUCCUGGAAAAGCCUUCUCCACCCUGGGCACUUUAAGCGGCGGUGGCGGCAAACGGCAGGAGGUUGCAGACCCGACAGCGAGACUCCCUCAUUCCAGUCUUGCUCUGCCCUCCGGAGAUGACAAGUGAGAAAGAAGUGUCCGGCCGGGCCAUCCCCUUCAGAGAAGCAACCACUUCACAAGAAGAUUCUGAAGUUGGCCAUUUUUGAUCCCAGAACAGUUUCUCAUAGAUUAGAAAUAUUGGAGUCUACACAAAAAUCGAUAUUCAUUUACAAGAUCAUCACUAAACUUAUCUUGCAUAACGUAAGUGGCAAGCUCUGACUUGUGAUUUUUUCAUAAGAAAAAUGUUUUUUAACUUAGUAUCAUUUCUACAACAAUGUCCCAUGAUAAUUGAUUCUAGGUGAUUUGAAACACUGCUUAGUCCUGUUUUAGAAAAAGCUCCCAUAUCUGAUUUAGUCUCAUAUGCAGCUUACUUCUAACAUCAGAUUGAAUUUGCAUUGAGUUACCUUACUCGGUUUAUUUUUUAAUUAUGUUGCAGUUACAAGGGAAUAAGGAAAAGUCAGUAUAGUGCAUUGAAAUGUCUUUUUUAAUUGAGACACACAAGAAAUGUGUUAUAGGUUCCCAAACAUUCUUCAUGUAUUAGAGAUGUUAUAAUAAUCUUUUGAAUAGCCAAGUGAAAAGGAAUGGUUUCACCUGAACAUGUUAGAAUUUAUUGCUACAUUUUUUGUGUGUUGUGGUGGAGAAAUAAAUUUUUAAAUCGCAUUUAUGGAGUCAUUUCAGAACAAGUAGAAAACAUGUAAUCUGGUCACUUUGAAUGUGUAAGUGUUUGUAUCUGAACUCCUCCUGCCCUAUUAAGAGUGGAAGGUUGUACUAUAUGUUACUCAAAAAGUAAUUUUCCCCGGAUAUGCAAUAAGACCUCAGAUUUGACCUAUAAGCUGAAUGUCAUAAGCUAUCCAUUAGCUAUGCUGGAAGCACACCACCAACAACAAAAAAGUUUUAAGUAUUUUUAUAGGCUUGCUAAAAUCUGAUUAUAGAACCAAGGCAGUCAAAUACCAUGAGUAAGACUGCAGAAACCCUAGAAUUUAACUCCCUAGUUAUUCUUAAUGAGUGAAUCCUGUGCUUUGUGUCUAAAAGCAAUGUAUUGUGCUUUCCAAUUCAGGAAAUGCAUUUUAAUUGCUAUACUCAUUGAUACAUCAAUCUGUCCAUGACAUUCUGACAUAUAUCCAGUUUCCUAUGGAUUCGGUAUAGGAGCAAAUUAAAAGAUGCACUAGAAUGGUAACAUUUAAUCUAUAAUCCUCCAUUUAACCUUUAUGUGGCUGUCACAGAACAAGUCCUGUUUUUAGAGUUGAACCAAAAAACAAACAAAACAAAACAAAACAAAACAAAACAUGCACACACACUAGAGAAACGGCUUUUUUUUUUUUAACCUGGGGACCAUGAAAAAGUUUUGACCAUUCCCCGACCCCCAUGCUUCAACUUUAGCUUUGAUAGUUAAAGUAUGUCUUCCUUCAGUUUAAGUUGAACAAACUUCUGCAUAAGACCCUCCAGAAAACCUCUGAACACAUACAGUUUUGGGGGCAAUGGGGACUGAACUAUGUACAAAUAGGUGAUACUUCAGCACACAAUUCCUGGGAUAAAUUUUAUCCUCUUCUCAUUUUUAUUUUUAUGAACUAUAUGGGGUUUUUUAAACAAGUUACAAGAAGCAAAACACAUUUUACCUUUACUCUGUUACAUAUUUCAAAUUAAGCAGAUCCUAAUUAAUUGGGUUACAUUAUGUAACAAUAGCCUUUUUAAUAUCAAAUGGUUUUUAUGAUCUGUCUUCAAUUUUUCUUAAAAUGAGACUGCACUAAAGAUUUUCUUGACAUUUCUGAGAAUUUCAUUUUCAGUUUCAAAAAAUUAUUUAUUCCUUUAAUCUUUCAAUGUGGAAAAGUAAUGAAUAUUGAUUCAUUUUUAGAAGCGCUAACAUCCAACUAGGUAAACUUCAUGAGUGAUGGCUAUUAAUGUUCUCUUUCAUCUUAUAGACAGAAAAUCAAAGCUAUUUAAAGUAAAGGAUUUGUUUCAAAUCAAUGUAUGUCCACAAAUUAACAUUAAUGUUUACAAUACUUUCUGUGAUAAUUGUGUCUUACUUGGGUGUAUAUAUGUCUUUAUAUCUAUCUGUAAAGAUAUAGUUGCAAGUAGAUGAGAGACGAAUGUUCAUGUUUCUAUAUGGUCUGAAUAAAAGUGUUAUCACUAUGCUAACUUGCAGUGUUAUAAAAUGCACCAAUGGCUCUUUGUGCCACUCCUUCAUUUUCAGUGGUUACCAAGAUAGUCAAAUUAAACUGCUGAUGUGAUAAUCAUCCAAACAUUUAAUUUUAACACUAUGAUUAUAGAAUUUUUUUAUUUCUAUGAGAUUUACCUAUAGUAGCUUUCUGUUUAAUGUUCAAUGUUCUAUAGGAGUUUCCUUUUAAAUGUUCAGAGCAGGAGCUAUACCCUCUAGGAUAUGCAAAUAAUCAAGUCUUAGCGACCUUAUAAAAUAUAAUCCACAUUAUGAAUCAAACAGAAUGAGCCUUCAGAUCUGAUUGCCUAAGGCUCAAAAUGUUAAUGCUCCUGAAAUGCCUUGUACAUAUUAGCUAGUUGAAAUUGCAUUAAAACAAGAGAACGAAUUGUAGUCUUGACCUCAGUCUCAUUUCACCAGCCUUUGCCUGCUACUGCCAACCUGAGAGGGGAGCUUCUGCUCUGCAGAUGGAUGGACAGCUGCUGAUCUUCACCUCCUGUCUGUUCCCACAAUUCUAAAAGAAUUAGGCCUGAGGAACUUAAUCUUCUGGUGUUCCAUUGUGAACUGACUUUAUUAAAUUUUUUCCAAAGUUCAGUGUUCUUCAGUUCUUUCUCAGAGUACAAAUUGAAGAGACACAGAGCCAGUUCCAAAUGAACUGAAAUUGUUUUGUAAAAAAUUAAUUCAAACAAUAAUGCCAUGGAAAAGCACUUUGAAUUUUUCAAUUCCCAGGCUAUUGAUUCUAAAAAAGAAACAAUUCUAAAUUAUCCACAUGUUCUCAUUUAUUAGUCUAGAGCUCUUGCCCAAAGAAUUAUUUGCCAAGGUAAUAUAUAGAACAUCAGGAUGAUUUACUUGCUUUUCUAAUACCAUUUUGCCCACAAACUCUAUGGAACUGAAAGCAUGUCAGCAGCAAAAGAAGGUCCACUAGCAGCUAUAAAAGAGAGCUUACUAAUGAACAAUAAAUAUCUAAAAGUAAAGGGAAAGGAGCCAAAUUCCAUUUUCAAAAGCCAAAAUUCUGCAGUAGGUAAAUAUCACAGAUAGCAUUGCUUAUUAUUUAUAAUCACUACUAAGAGUAAUCUAUCAUUUCUUUAAAUCCUCAAAAUAGGUCUCUGCCAGCCACAUUAACUGCCUGCAGAAAAGUUUGUUAUGACUGCCUGGUUUUGUAAAGUCCAGACAACUUUACACUAAGCUGAAUAAUGUUCAUUUACUCAAAAGCUAGUCUAAAAUUGUAGAGUUAAUGAACACUAAACCAAAGUUAGUGCUUUAACUGAAAGAUAAUUUACUGUACCCUUUGGAGUCCAGUCCGGUACCAUCAAGAUCUGGGAAAAUACAACUGUUACCAAGAAUAACUGUAAAAUGUGCUGGGAAUGCAAUGUCCUGAGAUAAGGAAGAACUGCCUGAAACAGCCUGGAUCUUAUUCCUGUACUUCCUAGGGAAUGUAACAUCUCAAGUUAAAGAGGAACUGCCCGGAACAGCCCGGGGAUUGUUCCUCUCUCCUGAGAAGGAAGAUUACCUCCAAAGCUCAUCCACUGAGUCACACUGCCCCUGUGGUGGAGGGCGGGCUGCCUUUCCAGGUUCCUCAGCUGUGGUGUAACUGAAGCAGGCACAAUCAAGACUCCAUCUGCUCGAGGCAGCUUUCUCGAACCUUGGGGAACCUACUCACAAUGGAUCACAGGCUUCUUUUGUUUUGUUUCUUGCUGCCUAUCUGUAAGUAAUUAACUUGCUUCAUGUAACGUGUUGCAUAUGAGUGUGUUCUGUCUCAUAGACUCAGGGAAUUGGUAACACUGCAGCUGAGGACGCAGUGGACAGAAGUGUUCAGACUCCUGUUCCUUGUGGUUGACACAGUGAUGAUGAUCUCUUCUGUCCUCCACAGAGUGGAAGUCCUCUCUUGGGAUUGGUUAUUGGUGAAACCACUUCGCAAUUUAUUAAGAUGGCAAAAGCUUACGGAGGGACAGAUUUGAGGGGAAGAUCAAGAUUUUUCUGUCAGUAUUGCAAAUAGUCAAGAAUAUGUGGUCCAAGAAGUGAUCAUUAUCUUUGGCAUUGUGCAAGUCAUUAGUGACCUUCACAUGAACAGUCUCAGUGGAGUGUUGGAGGAAAAAGCCUAACUGAAGAAGGUUCAAGAGUGAAUGGAAAAAGAGCAGUAGUAUGUGGAGAGUACAGACAAGUAUUUCCAGGAGCCUUUCUGUAAAGAGUGGUAGAGAAUGGGACAUCAUUUUUGGAUGGGGGAAGAGUUAUUUAUAGCAUGUUCAUAUGCUAAUGGAAGUGAUCUACUCAUGGGGAAAAUCUUGAUGAUGCAAGAAAGAAAGGGAUUUGUUGGAAUCUUGUCCUAUAACGGGUGAGAGGGGAUGGGUUCUAGAAGAAAAGGCAUGGGUCUUUGUUUGAGAUCAGGCAAUUCAUCUGUAGGAACCAGUAGGAAGAUGGUUAAGUGGGUACCUGUGGUAGUGGAUGUUUGUGAACAUUCUUUUCUUUUCCAUUGUUUCUAUUUUCUCAAUAAAGUGGGAAGCAAAAAUCAGCUGAGUGAAGAUGAGGAAGAAGGUGUUAAAGGUUUGAAGAAAAAAGGAAAAGGAUAUACUAAUCUAAGAGGACAAGUAAGUAGAACAUAGAUAAUGAAAAUGCUGGCCCUUAGGACUGUUGGGCCUAAAUGCUCAUAUUAUAUUGGUAGUCACAAAUUUGAACUUUCUCUAGAGCCAAUUUUUGCAUGUGUGUGCAGGCCUGGAGUAGUUGGAGAGUUGGAUUUAAUAGAAUUGAGGGUCAAGCAACUACAACCAGGGAAGAGUGGGACAAGGGAGAUAAAGGAUAUUGGCAGGGGAGCAAUUAUAAACAUGGACCAUGAUCAAAACUGGACAGGAAGGAAAAUAGAGAUAAGAGGGGUGGAAGGUUAAAAAUAGUGAAAAUGAGAUAGAAUGAAUAGGUUGUAGGUCCCUGUAAAGUUGAAGAAGUAUUAUUAUGCAGUACUCGUUAUUGAAAUGAGGUCACUAUGCUUAAGGCACAGUGAAUCCUAGAAAAUAGUGGUUUUGUUUCUCAUUAGGCAAUACAUUCCUCCUUGCUCCAGAAUGCAACAUACAUGUAUCCUUUUCUGUACUAUUUUUUAUUAAGAAUUCAUACUUAAUUCCACUGACUGCCACUCAAUUUUAAUGUACAGUAGGGAAUUCCUGUACUAUGUAUUAUGAAUCCAUUCCUUUGAAUUUCAUUUAUAAUACUUCAUGACUGACACCUGGCUUUCCACCAAGACUCAAUUUUCAUAGCAAGCCUCAUCAUCAUAAGCCCCCAAAUUAACAGGAUGAGGAGGAAGAAUUGGCAGGCUAAAGAAGAUGAUUAUAUCAAUUAAUGCAGAAAAAGCAUUUGAUAAAAUCCAAUAUUCAUUUGUAAUUAAAAACUCUCAGCAAGUUAGGGAUAGGAAUUACUUCAACUUAAUGAAGAGUGUCUUUAAAAACCUUAUUUUCAUCAGUUAUAACAAAUGUACCACUCUGGUGGUGAAUGUUGCUAAGGAGGGAAGCUAUACAUGUGUGGGGAAAGGAGAUGUGUGAGCAAUUUCUGUACCUUCUACUCAAUCUUCUGUGAGACUAAAAUUGC
Long non-coding RNA from Homo sapiens (human), 6419 nucleotides. Ensembl annotates it as TRHDE antisense RNA 1. Its record names the gene TRHDE-AS1. The record is from Ensembl. Lineage: Eukaryota; Metazoa; Chordata; Mammalia; Primates; Hominidae.